UGCCAGCAGCCGCGGUAAUACGGAGGGUGCAAGCAUUAAUCGGAAUUACUGGGCGUAAAGGGCGCGUAGGCGGCAUGGUAAGUCAGAUGUGAAGUUCCGGGGCUCAACCCCGGAGCUGCAUUUGAAACUACUAAGCUAGAGGAUAGACGGAGAAAGCGGAAUUCCAUGUGUAGCGGUGAAAUGCGUAGAUAUAUGGAAGAACACCGGUGGCGAAGGCGGCUUUCUAGCCUAUUCCUGACGCUGAGGCGCGAGAGCUAGGGGAGCAAACAGGAUUAGAUA
RNAcentral lists this ribosomal RNA (279 nucleotides) under uncultured bacterium. Its description in RNAcentral is "partial 16S ribosomal RNA". It matches the Rfam family "Bacterial small subunit ribosomal RNA", at positions 506 to 784 of the family's 1533-position model. The record is from RNAcentral.